This 253-nucleotide ribosomal RNA is filed under the name uncultured bacterium. Its description in RNAcentral is "partial 16S ribosomal RNA". It matches the Rfam family "Bacterial small subunit ribosomal RNA", at positions 524 to 776 of the family's 1533-position model. The record is from RNAcentral.
UACGUAGGGUGCGAGCGUUGCCCGGAUUUAUUGGGCGUAAAGGGUGCGUAGGCGGUCGGGUAAGGCUGAUGUGAAAUCUCACAGCUUAACUGUGAAACUGCAUUGGAUACUAUCCGGCUAGAGGAAUGGAGGGGAGACUGGAAUACUUGGUGUAGCAGUGAAAUGCGUAGAUAUCAAGUGGAACACCAGUGGCGAAGGCGAGUCUCUGGACAUUUCCUGACGCUGAGGCACGAAAGCCAGGGGAGCAAACGGG